This 210-nucleotide long non-coding RNA is filed under the name Homo sapiens (human). RNAcentral describes it as "non-protein coding LINC00310:21". The record is from RNAcentral. Lineage: Eukaryota; Metazoa; Chordata; Mammalia; Primates; Hominidae.
AGAGUUGUAGGCAAGUAGUUGGACAAAAAGCAAGAAGCUGAUCGAUGUUGCUGGCUUUGGAUUCUUUGUGAACAAAUGAGACAAGGAGCCUGUGAACUCGUGCCAGAAGAGGAAAGGCUGAGCUGAUACUGCAAAGAUGUGGCAGCAGAUGGGAACUUGUGCCUGCAAGUGGGGAGCCUUGGUUUUAAUGAAUGAAAUCUAGCAAGUUCC